AAGACUUUUUUUCUUCUUCUUCUUCUUG
This 28-nucleotide small RNA is filed under the name Arabidopsis thaliana (thale cress). RNAcentral describes it as "ATSL076550". Lineage: Eukaryota; Viridiplantae; Streptophyta; Magnoliopsida; Brassicales; Brassicaceae. The record is from RNAcentral.